GAUGAACGCUGGCGGCGUGCCUAAUACAUGCAAGUAGAACGCUGAAGGAAGGAGCUUGCUCUUUCCGGAUGAGUUGCGAACGGGUGAGUAACGCGUAGGUAACCUGCCUGGUAGCGGGGGAUAACUAUUGGAAACGAUAGCUAAUACCGCAUAACAGUAGAUGUUGCAUGAUAUCUACUUAAAAGGUGCAAUUGCACCACUACCAGAUGGACCUGCGUUGUAUUAGCUAGUUGGUGAGGUAACGGCUCACCAAGGCGACGAUACAUAGCCGACCUGAGAGGGGGAUCGGCCACACUGGGACGGAGACACGGCCCAGACUCCUACGGGAGGCAGCAGUAGGGAAGCUUCGGCAAUGGACGGAAGUCGGACCGAGCAACGCCGCGGGAGUGAAGAAGGUUUUCGGAUCGUAAAGCUCUGUUGUAAGAGAAGAACGAGUGUGAGAGUGGAAAGUUCACACUGUGACGGUAUCUGACCAGAAAGAGACGGCUAACUACGUG
RNAcentral lists this ribosomal RNA (497 nucleotides) under uncultured bacterium. Its description in RNAcentral is "partial 16S ribosomal RNA". It matches the Rfam family "Bacterial small subunit ribosomal RNA", at positions 28 to 507 of the family's 1533-position model. The record is from RNAcentral.